Cephus cinctus (wheat stem sawfly) is the source of this 1212-nucleotide long non-coding RNA. RefSeq lists it as uncharacterized. The transcript has 3 exons. The record is from RefSeq and is a predicted model, not a curated record. Lineage: Eukaryota; Metazoa; Arthropoda; Insecta; Hymenoptera; Cephidae.
AAGAUAUGAUGGAAAGGACUACUAACCAUUCGUGGGUAUCUAGAUCAUAUUCACCAUAGAGCUGACCCAUGGUAAUGGAUUUUGGAUUGAGCACGUAGGCAUCCUUCAGUAUCUCAUAACACUGAAAUAAAGGAGAAAAUUGAAUAAGAGGAUAUUUCUUGAGAAAAAAGAAAAGACAAUCUUAGGUCAUGUCAGGUAAAUCGGGCAGUCGUAUAUGGCACAGUUAUUAAAGAAUGUAAAAAAUCUUGAAAAAAAGAGUUUCAGGUAAAAAAUCUGAAAUGUCCAAAAAAAAUGCAAUGUUGCUCUCAUAAAAUAAUAUGCGUGAACAAAAUGAUACCUCUAAUGCCAUUUCAGGAUUUUCACCAUAAAGAUUUAUUUUUAGCAUGCUAAAUUACCCUGCUAAUCCCCAUAAGGAUUGGUUAAAUGAAUGGCCAUACAGUAAAUUGAUACAGAACCCAUUAAGGGCUAAUGGUGUAAUUAGCAGAUUAGAUUUUGUUAAAAACGGCUAAGGGUGACUCGUAUAAAAAAAAAUGUGUAGUCGGUCGGUUCCAAUCUAAUUGGCAAAAUACGCGAGUCCUAACAGACAGCAGAUUCAAUGACAAAUUCAAUGACCAUGUAUCAAUUGCACCGAAGUGGAAAUCGAAAAUUUACUGCAGAGCGAGGAGUAGCGGAAACUUAAAUAUCUGACUCAUAGUAUAACAGUGGUAGUAUAAUAAAAGAGUAUGAAAAAAUGAGGAAAAAAAAUAAAGUCCAUUUGCGAACGACUCGUAUUGAUUUUACGCUUUUCAUUCUUAUUCUCGACACUCUCCUCCAUCUUGUCCUAGCUAUCUUUCUCAAUAUCUGUCUCGCAGAGGAAUCAUCCAGGAAUUCAAGGCGUAAAUAUUUCUCUUGGGAGAUUCGCGUAUCGAGCUGCGAACCUAAGUGGCUGAAAGCGUCCAAAGUGCGGAUACCAUCGAAAAGCACGAAUAUUUCAGGAUCCACGAGAUGUUGAAUAAUUCGCAACAAUAACCUUUCACCUAACUGGCGCGUAGUUGGCGAACGAAAAACAAAAUUCCCAAAAAAUUAUCGCCCAAGAUAAAUCAUAACGAUAAAACGGAAUUCAUGAUGAUCAGAGUUGUGUUUACAUGUUUUCGUAGUUGCGUGAAGGCUUUUGAUUCCGGCUAGACAAGCAAUGCCAAUUAAUCUCUUAUAAUUGGAUUAAAGAUAUACACU